This 3212-nucleotide small RNA is filed under the name Pan troglodytes (chimpanzee). RNAcentral's name for it is "processed transcript". The stretch from base 1892 to 2022 matches the Rfam family "T-cell leukemia/lymphoma 6 conserved region 3". Lineage: Eukaryota; Metazoa; Chordata; Mammalia; Primates; Hominidae. The record is from RNAcentral.
ACAUGUCCUUAACCUUGGCACAACAAAUCUCUAAAUCGAUUGAGACCUGUCUCAGAUACUUCUUGGUUUACAAGAUGGAGGCUGAAAUUAAAGAGAAAGAUCCUCACUCAACUCACAGAGGAGCAGAAUGGGAAGAGGACUUAGUGAGAAUUCCCUGAACACAGGAGAAAACCGAAGCCCAGAGAGUGGAUGGCCAAGUCCAAGGUCACACAGCCAAGUGCAUCCGAGCAGCGCAGGAUCCAGGUUUCCUGCCCCAGUGCUCUUUCUGCAGCCCAUGCCACCUGUUUUCAUGCUAUCUCAGUUCACCUUCCAGCUACACACCUGCAAUCAGAAACAGAAAGUCUGAGAGAGUGUGUGGAGCCAAAGAGGGGACAGCAGUGGUGAGGCCAGUUUCAUGUCUUGUGAUUUAUUUUCUCCCUUUCUUUUUGGACUUUAAUCUUAAGUGGACAGCAAUUUGGAACAGUGUCAGCACCUUGUUGGAUUGUGCUGUUUGGGAGAGGUGACACAGAGUAUUUUAAAGGAGCAGGUUAAGAACUUUUCAUAAGGAAUCAAUUGAGAGAAAAUAAAAUAGAAACAGACUGUCCCACAUUUGGGCUGAGCACCAAACACAUUUUUUUUUUUUUUUUUUUGAGACUGAGUCUUGCUCUGUCACUCAGGCUGGAAUGCAGUGGCGCGAUCUCGGCUCACUGCAGCCUUCGCCUCCCGGGUUCAAGUGAUUCUUCUGCCUCAGCCUCCCAAGUAGCUGGGAUUACAGGUGCCCACCACCAUGCCAGGCUAAUUUUUGUAUUUUUAGUAGAGACGAGGUUUCACCAUGUUGGCCAGGCUGGUCUUGAACUCCUGACCAAGUGAUCCACCUGCUUCGGCCUCCCAAAGUGCUGGGAUUACAGGCACGAGCCACUGCACCUGGCCUCAAACAAGCUUUUUAAUUGCAUUCAGAAGUGCACCAACUAGGCACAGACCUCUGGCAUGGAGACAGAAUGGGCGGUUCUUGGUGUCUGGCCUGGUCUUGCAGAAAUCAGGGAGUUGCGGGGACCAGGCAGCCACUGUGCAUCAGAUAGGAGUUUCAGCAGCAGGCAACAGAAAGCCUGCCAAUGUAGCUGAAAUAAGAAGGGCUUAUUUUUAUCCCUGAACAGAAGCUUCCAGCACUGGUUCAUCAGAUCAGGGCACUGAGCUGGCAUCCCCAUUUACACAGUUUUCCUUUCCUUCACCUUUGUAAGAUGCCUGGCACAGCUCUGAGCAUCAAAUAUCUGUGCCAUGUGGGAGCACACGAGGGGACAAGUGGGGAAUAGGGUCUCCUCUGUCCUCUGUCCCCAGGCUGGCUUCUCUCAUGGUAGAAGGACCCCCACAGCACCAGGCCUCAUAACUACCCUGCUGGUAAACUGCAGGUGCUGUCACGGCUUCCUGCCUUCGUAUAUGAAAUGUUCCUUGGCAGUUGGACUGCUGUUUGUUUACCGCACGCACAGCUCUGCUGCGUCUUGGUUACACCAGUGAGCUAUUGCUCCAUGACAAGCCACACCGAAAUGUAGCAAGCACUUAUUGUUGCCCACAUGUCUCAAGUCAGUUGAGUGUUUCUGCCAAUCGGGGCCUGGCUUGGCCCACCUUGGCUGAGCUUGCUCUGGUGCUAGGGUCAGCUAGACAGGUCGGCAGGGGAGACCAGCUGCUCUAGAAGAGCCUGGACAGGAUGAAUUGGUUCUCCUUCCACAUGCAUCUUGCAUCCCUCUAGCCAAGGAUUUGAACCCAGGUCUCGUCUGACUCCAAAUGCACCAAGAGGAUGGAGCCCAGAGUGACACAGAGGAAGAGGCCCCUGGAUGGAUGCAUGGGGAAGGUUAGAAGCAAGGCACAAGUCAUACCUACAUUCAAGGAGAGGGGACCAUGCAAAGGAUAAACUGCAGAGAGACAACAGAUUUACAUCCCAGACACACUGGGCCAAGAGCAGCUGCCAUUGCAGAUUCGAGUCACGUCCUUUUUUCCCUCCUUCUCCUUCUUGGAGUUACAACAGAAGCUGGGGAGGUGAGAGUGCAGAAAGGACGUGGAUGAAGCAGAGAGGCACGUGCCUGUCUCAUUCGCCUCUGGAUCUGCUGCACCCAGGACCGUGCCAGCACAAAGUGGGAGCCCGAUAAAUAUUUAUUGAAGAAAUGAAAGGUGACAAAAGGCAGGAGGGAGACCCCCAAAAGAGGAGAGACAAAGUUUAAUCAUGUGGGCCAGGCUGGUUUUGAACUCCUGACCUCAAGUGAUCUGCCCACCUUGGCCUCCCAAAGUGCUGGGAUUACAGUAUGAACCCAGCAUCACAGUGCACUUGUGGCAGAUGGCAGUGCACACCCGGGAGCUACUCUCCUCCGGCCAGAUGCCCUUCUCCCAGCUGCCCGCCGUGUGGCAGCUCUACCCCGGGAGGAAGUACCGAGCAGCGGAUUCCAGUUUCUGGGAAAUAGCAGACCAUGGCCAGAUUGACUCUAUGGAGCAGCUGGUCCUAACAUAUCAGCCGGAGAGGAAAGACUGACACUGGGAGUGGCUGGCCCUGCCGGCCCUGCCUCUUCUGGCCUGGUGUCUCCUCAUGCCCCCUCAGUGAGGAUCUUCAUGUACCUGCUCUUCUGUUUGCACACCCAGCAUAGCCUCCUUGCGGGCGGAAGGCAGUAGGGCCCCUGCACACUCAGUUUCUCUCGUUUUCCUUAGUUAUCAGUCCUGUCCUGUACCACUCGGGUCUGCACUUAGGGCAGCUGGCCUGGAUGGGCUUCACUGGGGCCCUGUCUGUGCGCUGAGCCAGUUUCCCCUGCUGCCUGCAAGCUGUGGGUUCUUUCUCCUCUGUGCCCCUCAUGCUGAUCUUCUAGAUGCCACUCCCAAAUCCCCUUCAUACCCACCAGGAUGUGUGCCCAGCCAGGCCUCCAGCACCCCCAGUGCAGCUCAUGAUUGGAAACUCACCAUCGGCAGGCAGUGGUUUGGUUUAAGAGAUGGCAUUAGAGGGAGCCCAGUCUGGAUGUGGACUUGGAUGCCCCGUGGGUAUCAGUUCUGCUGACACUUUGGCCCAAAAUAGAUCCAGUGCUGAGCAAGCAAUGUACACCGGAGCCUCAGUGAGCCCAUCUGCACAGUGGGGAGCAUGGAGGGAUGGGUUUGGCCUGUGCUUCUGCUUGUUCAGUCCUUCAGCUCACGGAAGGGAUGCUAGUCCGUGAAGGUGACCUCACAGUACUGGUUAAUUAAACUUUAUUGCUCACUGUCCA